RNAcentral lists this non-coding RNA (107 nucleotides) under Xenorhabdus bovienii str. feltiae France. The record is from RNAcentral. RNAcentral also lists the same sequence under 2 other names. Lineage: Bacteria; Pseudomonadati; Pseudomonadota; Gammaproteobacteria; Enterobacterales; Morganellaceae.
CAUUUUCGGUGACGGCUUCUCGUGAAAGCUAGUUACCACGAUUGAACCGUUCUAGUAAAACUGUUCAAUCUUGAAUAAAACCGCCCCUGCAAGGGUGGUUUUUUUCU